Taeniopygia guttata (zebra finch) is the source of this 891-nucleotide non-coding RNA. The record is from RefSeq and is a predicted model, not a curated record. NCBI's taxonomy places the organism in Eukaryota, Metazoa, Chordata, Aves, Passeriformes, Estrildidae.
UAUCACUGCAAUAUAGUGCUCUCUAGGGUACAUUUGAAACUGCAAUUGCAUUGAAAUCUGUCAGAACUGUCCCUAGAUAUGCUUACAGGAUGUAAAUAGGGCAACCUGCUCUUGCUCUAAGUGUGUUUAUUUAGGUUUGGGACAUCUUGGGUGGCUUUUAGCUAGCUCAGAGUAAUGUCAAAUUAUAGAAUAAUUUGGCUUGAAAGGGACCUUAAAGAUCAUCUUGUUCCAAUCCCCCUGCCAUGGGCAGGGACACCUUCCACUAGACCCAGCUGCUCAGGACCCCAUCCUUGUUUCCUCACUUAUUCCUCUCUGUGGUUCACUCACUCACUGUUGAUAAAGGCUCUCAUUUCUUUGGAUGUAAAAUCUCUUUUGUCUUUUUAGGAUCAUGCCUGCUGGUAGGCCAUGUGGAAGGCUUUCCCAAAUCCAACCUGAGCAGUGACUUUGAAGCACCAUGGUUGAAUCUCCAGCCCCUGCUCAGCAUCAUCCUUUGAGCAAACCUUUGCCAUUGCUGUCAUUGGGACAUCAUGCUUGUUGUAUUUCCUAGUUGCAUGUUUCUCAUGAUAGAAUAUUUUACUUCCCAGCAGUGGUACAUGCAAGAGAAACUAAGCUCAAACAAAGGAGGAAACUGAAAAAAAACCCAGAAGGAUAUUAAUCAGACAAGACAUGAGUAACCUGAAGAAGAGUACUCUUCGUACUGACAAAAUGGAAAUGGCAUCUGUCCAAACACACUGGCUCAAUGAGCCUUGGUUUUGAUGACCGUAUUGCCUUGUUGGCCUUCUGAUUUAACUGUGGUAAGUUUAUUGGCUUCAAAGCAGUUAAAUGUAGUCUGAAAACCUUUUCUUGUUUACUGAUUCUUUUUUUUCCUUCCUCUUGUUUUCCUUCUCAUUG